This is a long non-coding RNA of Chenopodium quinoa (quinoa), 541 nucleotides long. RefSeq lists it as uncharacterized. The record is from RefSeq and is a predicted model, not a curated record. The transcript is spliced from 3 exons. Lineage: Eukaryota; Viridiplantae; Streptophyta; Magnoliopsida; Caryophyllales; Amaranthaceae.
GGGAGAAGGAAGGAGAAAAAAGAGGAAAAAAAGAAAGUUGAAGCAAAGAAAGGACAAAAGAAUAAGCUUAAAAUUUUCUUGCGUACAACAAAGAAGAAAACGGAAAGGAAUAACGACACACCAAAGACACCAAUUCCUCUAAAAAAGAUGCAUAAAGAUAUUUCUCCUCCAAGCUUCAAUUUGUUGUCGCCCUCACCAAUAGUUGGAAGCAAGAAGAAAAACAAGAAGAAGAAGAAGAAGAAGAAGAAGAAGAAGAAGAAGAAGAAGAAGAAGAAGAAGAAGAAACAAGGAAAAAAAGAGGAAAGGAUAAGCUUCCAAUGUACUUGCGUUUGCCUUUUAUGGUUAAUCAUGAAAAACUCUUCAACAAUGUAGAUCAUAAAAUGAUAGCUGAGUAUGUUUUUGCUCAAGGAGAUAACGCGUAAGAUUUCAUCCAUCUAUAUUUAUAUGCUUAUAAUAAAAGUAUGUGAUUAUGUCAUAAAAUAUACUUCCUCCGUUCUUUAUUACUUGACCCGCUUUGACUUUUACAUUAUUCACCACCCCU